RNAcentral lists this non-coding RNA (46 nucleotides) under Chroomonas cf. mesostigmatica. Lineage: Eukaryota; Cryptophyceae; Pyrenomonadales; Chroomonadaceae. The record is from RNAcentral.
AAGGAGUUCGGCUAUCGCUUCAACAGGACUAGGGGGCUCUACCUGA